UAGGGAAUCUUCGGCAAUGGACGGAAGUCUGACCGAGCAACGCCGCGUGAGUGAAGAAGGUUUUCGGAUCGUAAAGCUCUGUUGUAAGAGAAGAACGAGUGUGAGAGUGGAAAGUUCACACUGUGACGGUAACUUACCAGAAAGGGACGGCCAACUACGUGCCAGCAGCCGCGGUAAUACGUAGGUCCCGAGCGUUAUCCGGAUUUAUUGGGCGUAAAGCGAGCGCAGGCGGUUAGAUAAGUCUGAAGUUAAAGGCUGUGGCUUAACCAUAGUACGCUUUGGAAACUGUUUAACUUGAGUGCAGAAGGGGAGAGUGGAAUUCCAUGUGUAGCGGUGAAAUGCGUAGAUAUAUGGAGGAACACCGGUGGCGAAAGCGGCUCUCUGGUCUGUAACUGACGCUGAGGCUCGAAAGCGUGGGGAGCAAACAGGAUUAGAUACCCUGGUAGUCCACGCCGUAAACGAUGAGUGCUAGGUGUUGGGUCCUUUCCGGGACUCAGUGCCGCAGCUAACGCAUUAAGCACUCCGCCUGGGGAGUACGACCGCAAGGUU
Molecule: ribosomal RNA, 549 nt
Filed under: uncultured bacterium
Lineage: Bacteria
Description: bacterial SSU rRNA
Rfam family: Bacterial small subunit ribosomal RNA
Source: RNAcentral